UUAUCACGGGAGACACACGGCGGGUGCUAACGUCCGUCGUGAAGAGGGAAACAACCCAGACCGCCAGCUAAGGUCCCAAAGUCAUGGUUAAGUGGGAAACGAUGUGGGAAGGCCCAGACAGCCAGGAUGUUGGCUUAGAAGCAGCCAUCAUUUAAAGAAAGCGUAAUAGCUCACUGGUCGAGUCGGCCUGCGCGGAAGAUGUAACGGGGCUAAACCAUGCACCGAAGCUGCGGCAGCGACGCUGAUGCGUUGUUGGGUAGGGGAGCGUUCUGUAAGCCUGCGAAGGUGACCUGUGAGGGUUGCUGGAGGUAUCAGAAGUGCGAAUGCUGACAUAAGUAACGAUAAAGCGGGUGAAAAGCCCGCUCGCCGGAAGACCAAGGGUUCCUGUCCAACGUUAAUCGGGGCAGGGUGAGUCGACCCCUAAGGCGAGGCCGAAAGGCGUAGUCGAUGGGAAACGGGUUAAUAUUCCCGUACUUGGUGUUACUGCGAAGGGGGGACGGAGAAGGCUAUGUUGGCCGGGCGACGGUUGUCCCGGUUUAAGCGUGUAGGUGUGUGUUCCAGGUAAAUCCGGUUCACUUUAACACUGAGGCGUGACGACGAGGCACUACGGUGCUGAAGCAACAAAUGCCCUGCUUCCAGGAAAAGCCUCUAAGCAUCAGGUAACAUCAAAUCGUACCCCAAACCGACACAGGUGGUCAGGUAGAGAAUACCAAGGCGCUUGAGAGAACUCGGGUGAAGGAACUAGGCAAAAUGGUGCCGUAACUUCGGGAGAAGGCACGCUGACACGUAGGUGAAGUGAUUUACUCAUGGAGCUGAAGUCAGUCGAAGAUACCAGCUGGCUGCAACUGUUUAUUAAAAACACAGCACUGUGCAAACACGAAAGUGGACGUAUACGGUGUGACGCCUGCCCGGUGCCGGAAGGUUAAUUGAUGGGGUCAGCGUAAGCGAAGCUCCUGAUCGAAGCCCCGGUAAACGGCGGCCGUAACUAUAACGGUCCUAAGGUAGCGAAAUUCCUUGUCGGGUAAGUUCCGACCUGCACGAAUGGCGUAAUGAUGGCCAGGCUGUCUCCACCCGAGACUCAGUGAAAUUGAACUCGCUGUGAAGAUGCAGUGUACCCGCGGCAAGACGGAAAGACCCCGUGAACCUUUACUAUAGCUUGACACUGAACAUUGAGCCUUGAUGUGUAGGAUAG
RNAcentral lists this ribosomal RNA (1192 nucleotides) under Salmonella enterica subsp. enterica serovar Typhimurium. RNAcentral describes it as "bacterial LSU rRNA". It matches the Rfam family "Bacterial large subunit ribosomal RNA", at positions 972 to 2146 of the family's 2925-position model. The record is from RNAcentral. Lineage: Bacteria; Pseudomonadati; Pseudomonadota; Gammaproteobacteria; Enterobacterales; Enterobacteriaceae.